Molecule: small nucleolar RNA, 108 nt
Organism: Medicago truncatula (barrel medic)
Lineage: Eukaryota; Viridiplantae; Streptophyta; Magnoliopsida; Fabales; Fabaceae
Rfam family: Plant small nucleolar RNA R71
About the family: R71 is a member of the C/D box family of snoRNAs containing the C (UGAUGA) and D (CUGA) box motifs. Multiple nearly identical copies of this snoRNA have been identified in Arabidopsis, and it is thought to function as a 2'-O-ribose methylation guide for 18S ribosomal RNA.
Source: Rfam
UAAUCAUGAUGGGGACAAAGUCUAAGCAUUUCUUUAAAACGCUCCAACGCAUCUUAAAUAGAUUCCCCUUCUUUUUGAGUAAAUUGGUAGAGCCUCGCCUUUAGUUGA